RNAcentral lists this ribosomal RNA (879 nucleotides) under Salmonella enterica subsp. enterica serovar Bahati. RNAcentral's name for it is "partial 23S ribosomal RNA". It matches the Rfam family "Bacterial large subunit ribosomal RNA", at positions 683 to 1560 of the family's 2925-position model. Lineage: Bacteria; Pseudomonadati; Pseudomonadota; Gammaproteobacteria; Enterobacterales; Enterobacteriaceae. The record is from RNAcentral.
CUUAAUUGGGCGUUAAGUUGCAGGGUAUAGACCCGAAACCCGGUGAUCUAGCCAUGGGCAGGUUGAAGGUUGGGUAACACUAACUGGAGGACCGAACCGACUAAUGUUGAAAAAUUAGCGGAUGACCUGUGGCUGGGGGUGAAAGGCCAAUCAAACCGGGAGAUAGCUGGUUCUCCCCGAAAGCUAUUUAGGUAGCGCCUCGUGAAUUCAUCUCCGGGGGUAGAGCACUGUUUCGGCUAGGGGGCCAUCCCGGCUUACCAACCCGAUGCAAACUGCGAAUACCGGAGAAUGUUAUCACGGGAGACACACGGCGGGUGCUAACGUCCGUCGUGAAGAGGGAAACAACCCAGACCGCCAGCUAAGGUCCCAAAGUCAUGGUUAAGUGGGAAACGAUGUGGGAAGGCCCAGACAGCCAGGAUGUUGGCUUAGAAGCAGCCAUCAUUUAAAGAAAGCGUAAUAGCUCACUGGUCGAGUCGGCCUGCGCGGAAGAUGUAACGGGGCUAAACCAUGCACCGAAGCUGCGGCAGCGACGCUGAUGCGUUGUUGGGUAGGGGAGCGUUCUGUAAGCCUGCGAAGGUGGCCUGUGAGGGUUGCUGGAGGUAUCAGAAGUGCGAAUGCUGACAUAAGUAACGAUAAAGCGGGUGAAAAGCCCGCUCGCCGGAAGACCAAGGGUUCCUGUCCAACGUUAAUCGGGGCAGGGUGAGUCGACCCCUAAGGCGAGGCCGAAAGGCGUAGUCGAUGGGAAACGGGUUAAUAUUCCCGUACUUGGUGUUACUGCGAAGGGGGGACGGAGAAGGCUAUGUUGGCCGGGCGACGGUUGUCCCGGUUUAAGCGUGUAGGUGUGUGUUCCAGGUAAAUCCGGUUCACUUUAACACUGAG